AAUCAACCCAGGGGACGCAUGUAUCGCUGCAGUGUGGGCAGUAUCAGAGGGAAAUAGAUAGGAUGACAUCUGCCCACAGUACAGUAGGUGGCGGUAAUGCAUUAUAACUUUGGAGGCCAACCGCCGAUAAACCCCACCGAAGAAGAAGACGAAUCAAAACCCAGAAGGGAAAUGUAAGGGACCUUUGAAGAAGGCCCCAGCCUCUGUCUCCAGCAUUCCCGAACUCUUACACUUGACUGGCUUCUUGGAACAGAGCAGCUUUAAAGAGCCAUGGUGGCCUAAAGAGACCGAACAAGCCCAUAGAAGGACGAUACCUAAUUAGCAGGGUUGAAUGGCCACGGUGACACUGUGAAUACAACUGUUUAACUGAAUACAUCAUCACCAUUCUGAGUGCUGCCCUCUCCCCAGACAGAGAGACAAUAGCACAUUGUUUAACAAACUAGCACUUAUUAUGCUAUUGUUGUCUGUGUUCCAGACCAUGUCAUCACUAUUGUCUGUGUUCUAAUCCCGUCAUCACUAUUGUUGUCUGUAUUCCAAAUCCCGUCAUCACUAUUGUUGUCUGUAUUCCAAAUCCCGUCAUCACUAUUGUUGUCUGUAUUCCAAAUCCCGUCAUCACUAUUGUUGUCUGUAUUCCAAAUCCCGUCAUCACUAUUGUUGUCUGUAUUCCAAAUCCCGUCAUCACUAUUGUUGUCUGUAUUCCAAAUCCUGUCAUCACUAUUGUUGUCUGUAUUCCAAAUCCUGUCAUCACUAUUGUUGUCUGUAUUCCAAAUCCUGUCAUCACUAUUGCUGGUCUUUGGUGAAAAUAAAUCAGUGUAAAAGAUGCAUAAGCUGAUUAAAAUUAU
Oncorhynchus nerka (sockeye salmon) is the source of this 842-nucleotide long non-coding RNA. RefSeq lists it as uncharacterized. The record is from RefSeq and is a predicted model, not a curated record. NCBI's taxonomy places the organism in Eukaryota, Metazoa, Chordata, Actinopteri, Salmoniformes, Salmonidae. The transcript has 4 exons.